GUUUUUUUUGUGAUCAUAACUUUCAUCAAAGCCAUCAGCAAUAAACAAAAAGUGAGGUGGCUUAAAAUCACAUGUUAUAAACACUGAAAAUAGCUUUAUAAAUAGUGUAGACACUAGUCUAUUGUUAAAGACAAUAUAUUGACCGCCAGAUGUCUGGUCUUUCUGUGUCAUUGGGUUGCUGUCCCAUUGUAUACUCCUUUUCUUCUUUGGCUUAUGAUAUGGGUUUAACAUUUCAGAAUCUUGAU
RNAcentral lists this long non-coding RNA (245 nucleotides) under Mytilus galloprovincialis (Mediterranean mussel). Lineage: Eukaryota; Metazoa; Mollusca; Bivalvia; Mytilida; Mytilidae. The record is from RNAcentral.